AACGAACGCUGGCGGCAGGCCUAACACAUGCAAGUCGAGCGAGGACUUCGGUCCUAGCGGCGGACGGGUGAGUAACGCGUGGGAACGUGCCCUUUGCUUCGGAAUAGCCCUGGGAAACUGGGAGUAAUACCGGAUGAGCCCUUUGGGGGAAAGAUUUAUCGGCGAAGGAUCGGCCCGCGUUGGAUUAGGUAGUUGGUGGGGUAAUGGCCUACCAAGCCGACGAUCCAUAGCUGGUUUGAGAGGAUGAUCAGCCACACUGGGACUGAGACACGGCCCAGACUCCAACGGGAGGCAGCAGUGGGGAAUCUUAGACAAAGGGGGAAAGGCUGAUAUAGCCAUGCCGCGGGAAAGAUGAAGGCCUUAGGGUUGUAAAGCUCUUUCAGCUGGGAAGAUAAUGACGGUACCAUAAGAAGAAGCCACGGCUAACUCCGUG
RNAcentral lists this ribosomal RNA (433 nucleotides) under uncultured bacterium. Its description in RNAcentral is "partial 16S ribosomal RNA". It matches the Rfam family "Bacterial small subunit ribosomal RNA", at positions 29 to 507 of the family's 1533-position model. The record is from RNAcentral.